GAUGAACGCUGGCGGCGUGCCUAAUACAUGCAAGUCGAGCGAACAGACGAGGAGCUUGCUCCUCUGACGUUAGCGGCGGACGGGUGAGUAACACGUGGAUAACCUACCUAUAAGACUGGGAUAACUUCGGGAAACCGGAGCUAAUACCGGAUAAUAUAUUGAACCGCAUGGUUCAAUAGUGAAAGACGGUUUUGCUGUCACUUAUAGAUGGAUCCGCGCCGCAUUAGCUAGUUGGUAAGGAAACGGCUUACCAAGGCAACGAUGCGUAGCCGACCUGAGAGGUUGAUCGGCCACACUGGAACUGAGACACGGUCCAGACUCCUACGGGAGGCAGCAGUAGGGAAUCUUCCGCAAUGGGCGAAAGCUUGACGGAGCAACGCCGCGUGAGUGAUGAAGGUCUUCGGAUCGUAAAACUCUGUUAUUAGGGAAGAACAAAUGUGUAAGUAACUAUGCACGUCUUGACGGUACCUAAUCAGAAAGCCACGGCUAACUACGUG
RNAcentral lists this ribosomal RNA (497 nucleotides) under uncultured bacterium. RNAcentral's name for it is "partial 16S ribosomal RNA". It matches the Rfam family "Bacterial small subunit ribosomal RNA", at positions 28 to 507 of the family's 1533-position model. The record is from RNAcentral.